GCAAACUACAGAAUGUAUUCCCGCUAAGACUCAACAAGUUUGAACGUAUUAAGGAAAUAACGAAAAUUCAAAGAAUACAAAAUAAAUAAAAUUACGAAAAAUAAGAUUUAAAAAAGUAAAACAUUUGAAAUAACUAAAAUAAUAUAAACAUAAACGAUAACUAAAUCGUUAUUUAGUAACCGUUUUUUUAUCAUUUUCCGUGUGUUAUGUUAAUAAAAAUGAAAUUUCUCAUAAAGAUUUUGAUAAUUGUGAUAUUGGUGACUGCAUCUAUAGCUUAUGAGCAGGACGACGUAAAAAAUGUCAGAAUAGAGAGCAUUCUUGAAGGUGUUCAGGACAGAAAUACUUGUCUGCAAGGUUUCCGGAAAGAUCAGCAUGGAAAAUGUCGCAAAAUUCUUUAAUUUACAUGUAAGGUCAGCUGCGAUGCCAUUAAAGUUGUGAGCAAAGACGAGCAAAGAUAGGAACAUAAGAGAGAAGCAGCCAUCUUACAGAAAAGCAUCUGUACAGUGGAAUUAAAUAAAAUUCUUUUUAUGAUGUA
Pseudomyrmex gracilis is the source of this 535-nucleotide long non-coding RNA. RefSeq lists it as uncharacterized. NCBI's taxonomy places the organism in Eukaryota, Metazoa, Arthropoda, Insecta, Hymenoptera, Formicidae. The transcript has 2 exons. The record is from RefSeq and is a predicted model, not a curated record.